RNAcentral lists this small nuclear RNA (18 nucleotides) under Arabidopsis thaliana (thale cress). RNAcentral's name for it is "snRNA_07764". Lineage: Eukaryota; Viridiplantae; Streptophyta; Magnoliopsida; Brassicales; Brassicaceae. The record is from RNAcentral.
GCGCAUGAAUGGAUUAAC